CUGACUGCUGGUUCAAGAUUUUGGAUUGCAUUUUGAGCUAUAGUAAAGAUGGCGCCUCCUAGCAAACGGUCCAGGGCGGCCAAGAAGAGAGAGGCUGACUUGAGGUCUACUGAGGUGCCGAGCAAGAGGUCCCCGGUGGCAGACACACAGGUUGACUUGGUCUCCUGUGACAAGGUUGGGCGUCCUUGUAUAAAAAAAGCCCAAACACUUUCUGAAAACAUGCCAAAUAACAUGCCACAUGACGUGCCACAUGACGUGCCA
Molecule: long non-coding RNA, 261 nt
Organism: Sardina pilchardus (European sardine)
Lineage: Eukaryota; Metazoa; Chordata; Actinopteri; Clupeiformes; Clupeidae
Exons: 4
Source: RefSeq, a predicted model, not a curated record